RNAcentral lists this long non-coding RNA (248 nucleotides) under Elaeis guineensis (African oil palm). RNAcentral describes it as "long non-coding RNA (EGUI_LNC024218)". The record is from RNAcentral. Lineage: Eukaryota; Viridiplantae; Streptophyta; Magnoliopsida; Arecales; Arecaceae.
CAUAUAGAGACAGUUCAAAAAUUUAUUCUAAUCAUUACAAAUCUACCAUCUUUGGUGAAUAGAUUACUCAGACUAGUCAGUUUCCAAUCAUAUGUCUCAUGUAUCAUCUCUAAACCUUAUCUUUGGACAGAAUAACUUUGUAUUUAGUCUGGGACAUUCCUAACCAUGCAAGAUCGAAAUCCUAUAAAUCAAGUGAACAGGCCACUUUGGUGACUACAGUGUAAUUAAUUAAUUCAUAGAACUCUCUC